Molecule: transfer RNA, 76 nt
Filed under: Microbacterium barkeri
Lineage: Bacteria; Bacillati; Actinomycetota; Actinomycetes; Micrococcales; Microbacteriaceae
Description: tRNA-Val
Rfam family: tRNA
About the family: Transfer RNA (tRNA) molecules are approximately 80 nucleotides in length. Their secondary structure includes four short double-helical elements and three loops (D, anti-codon, and T loops).
Source: RNAcentral
UGGGCGAUUGGCGCAGCGGUAGCGCGCUUCCCUGACACGGAAGAGGUCACUGGUUCGAUCCCAGUAUCGCCCACCC